Molecule: long non-coding RNA, 263 nt
Filed under: Dromaius novaehollandiae (emu)
Lineage: Eukaryota; Metazoa; Chordata; Aves; Casuariiformes; Dromaiidae
Description: lncRNA (ENSDNVG00000005356.1)
Source: RNAcentral
UUUCAUCCUCACUUUACCUCUGUGUGCAGUAAUAUUGCCCUGUCAUUCAUAAAACUUUAUGUCCAGAGGCUUUCCUCUCACCGAUGGAGCUGCAGAAACCUGUGGAGCUUAGGAGGAGCUUAUUGCAGGCACAGCCCUCACUUCCCAGAAACUCCUCCUCAGGUACAGAGCUUCAUUCUCCUCUCUGCAGCCCGUCGACAUCAGAAACUCCAUAGGAGCAUGACGAAUUUCUGUGCUUUCAUGAGACUUCUCACUCACAGAAC